RNAcentral lists this ribosomal RNA (207 nucleotides) under uncultured bacterium. Its description in RNAcentral is "partial 16S ribosomal RNA". It matches the Rfam family "Bacterial small subunit ribosomal RNA", at positions 568 to 774 of the family's 1533-position model. The record is from RNAcentral.
CACGUAGGCGGACUGGAAAGUUGGAGGUGAAAUCCUGGGGCUCAACCCCAGAACUGCCUUCAAAACUAUCAGUCUGGAGUUCGAGAGAGGUGAGUGGAAUUCCGAGUGUAGAGGUGAAAUUCGUAGAUAUUCGGAGGAACACCAGUGGCGAAGGCGGCUUGCUGGGCUCUAACUGACGCUGAGGCUCGAAAGUGUGGGGAGCAAACA